RNAcentral lists this ribosomal RNA (264 nucleotides) under uncultured bacterium. RNAcentral's name for it is "partial 16S ribosomal RNA". It matches the Rfam family "Bacterial small subunit ribosomal RNA", at positions 46 to 334 of the family's 1533-position model. The record is from RNAcentral.
AGGCUUAACACAUGCAAGUCGAGCGCCUGUAGCAAUACAGGAGCGGCAGACGGGAGAGUAACACGUGGGAACAUACCCUUUGGUUCGGAAUAACUCAGGGAAACUUGAGCUAAUACCGGAUACGCCCUUACGGGGAAAGAUUUAUUGCCGAAGGAUUGGCCCGCGUCCGAUUAGCUAGUUGGUGAGGUAACGGCUCACCAAGGCGACGAUCGGUAGCUGGUCUGAGAGGAUGAUCAGCCUCAUUGGGACUGAGACACGGCCCAA